AAAAAGCUAGAUCUUGAUUUUUAUUUUGACCGUUGGGCGAUCAAAAUUCGGUUCUUUA
RNAcentral lists this transfer RNA (58 nucleotides) under Pleurobrachia bachei. Its description in RNAcentral is "tRNA-Pro". The record is from RNAcentral. Lineage: Eukaryota; Metazoa; Ctenophora; Tentaculata; Cydippida; Pleurobrachiidae.